RNAcentral lists this ribosomal RNA (468 nucleotides) under uncultured bacterium. Its description in RNAcentral is "partial 16S ribosomal RNA". It matches the Rfam family "Bacterial small subunit ribosomal RNA", at positions 28 to 507 of the family's 1533-position model. The record is from RNAcentral.
GACGAACGCUGGCGGCGUGCUUAACACAUGCAAGCCGAACGGAAAGGCCCUGCUUUUGUGGGGUGCUCGAGUGGCGAACGGGUGAGUAACACGUGAGUAACCUGCCCUUUACUUUGGGAUAACUUCAGGAAACUGGGGCUAAUACCGGAUAGGAGCUCCUGCUGCAUGGUGGUGGUUGGAAAGUUUCGUCGGUUGGGUAUUGACUCGCGGCUUAUCAGCUUGUUGGUGGGGUAGUGGCUUACCAAGGGUUUGACGGGUAGGCGGCAUGAGAGGGUGAACGGCAAAAGUGGGACUGAGAUACGGACCAGAAUGCAACGGGAGGCAGGAGUGGGGAAUAUUGCACAAUGGGAGGAAGCCGGAUGCAGCAACGCAGCGAGCGGGAUGAAGGCCUUCGGGUUGUAAAACGCUUUAGCCUGUGACGAAGCGUGAGUGACGGUAAUGGGUAAAGAAGCACCGGCUAACUACGUG